This 1077-nucleotide long non-coding RNA is filed under the name Bos grunniens (domestic yak). Its description in RNAcentral is "lncRNA (ENSBGRG00000022107.1)". Lineage: Eukaryota; Metazoa; Chordata; Mammalia; Artiodactyla; Bovidae. The record is from RNAcentral.
GAGCAGGGCCGGCGCCCUCUCCUAGGCGCAGGCUGGGGAUGCAGGAGUGUGCCACUGUCACUGUCUUCUCAGCUGAUGCCUACUGCUCCUGGAAGGACAUGAGUACAAACAGCAGGCCAGUGUCAGGAGACAGGUGACCCUGAACAAGCUAGGUGACUUCGAACAAGUUAUUUAACAUCUCUCUUCCUUAAUUUCUUCACCUAUAAAAGUAAGAUAAUUGUGAGGACUACAUAAAUAGACAUAUAUAAAAGCACUCAGCACAAUGCCUGGUACUUGAUAAUAGUUCAAUAAAUGCUGGCCUCUCACCAUUAAGUCAACCAAGUUAAAAUUGGUAUGACUUUUUUAAACAGCAAAAACAAAACAAAAAAACCCUCACACACUAUAGCAGGGUGUCACGAAUGCAUGUGUCUGUAACACAGGGCCUUGAGUAAAGCAGGUUCAGCCCAGAUAAUAACUGUGGAGGGUGGUGGCCUCCACGGUACUGCAGGAAGCCCAGCCCUUCUCUCGUGCACACUUGCUCUCAGCACCAACUGGAACUCAGCAUGGAUCAUGCCUGUACUGCCAGAAUAACCCCAAAUCUGGAUUUUAAAUGAAAUUUCCUAAUUUUUAAAUGUUGACAACUGCCUCCAAAACGUUUGAAAAUCAAAUAGGUCCAAUGAACCAUACUGUGUGGCUGGACCAGGGCUUCUGAACUGUGUGUGGGCCUCUACUGUCCAGACUAACCCACAGGACCUGCCUGGGUAAAACCCAUAUCCAAAGUUUUUACUCAUUUCCCAUGGGAAAGCCUUACCAUUGACCAAGCCACAGAAGGACCCACAAAAAGUCUAGAAUGUUCUCUAAGUCACAGGCCAAGGAGGGGCCAGGCCUGCAGCAGGUGCCUCCUUGAUGACUUUCGGCCUGCUCACCGAGAAGGGAGGUGGAUCAUUUAUGAGCUGCAAAGGUGAUACAAAAUGCUAAUCAGCUUUAAGCUGACACUGGAUAACACAAGAAUUUACAUAGCGGGCAAGGAUAAAGAUGAAGUGGUAACACUUCAGAGGCUCCACAAAAUAUCCUGACUAUCUAGGCCAUAAACCUACA